GAACAUUACAGGGGAGGAGAAGAAAAAGAACAACCUACAAAAGAAAAGAAAAAACAAGAAACAGAAAAGGAGUGAGGGAGAUUAUAGAAAAAGAAGCAGAAGAAGUUUGAAAAGCAAAAGAAAAAAAAGAGAAGGAAAAGAAAAGAAAGAAAACAAGAGAAAAAUAGUAGUAAAAAAAAAAAGAAAAUAGGGAACAGAGAAGAGGAAGAAGAAACACACAGUCGAAGGAUUUAGAGUUCGGAUUCCGUUUCGAGUUUUCCUAUAACAGUGUCCUCCUUACUCGGUGUAAUUUAUCACGACGAUUUUUACCCAAUCCUGUAAUAUUAUUUUAUAAAGCUAUUGUGAAGCAAUGCAGGAACAAAGUUCAAAUGGCUCCAUGCACUUGUUUAGUAUCAAAAGUCUCUUUUAUCGUUGUUCGCCAAUUACCUGUGACUAUCUUUUAUAUAGUGCAAUUGAUGUGGAUAUUUGUUGUUAACUAAAUGUGUUCAUGUUACGUGAUGUAUUUUCGUUUGAAUAUAUUUCGUCAACAUGAAUGUCUAUAUUUAGUUAUUAUUCAAAUUGAAGAAGUAAAG
This 572-nucleotide long non-coding RNA is filed under the name Capsicum annuum. Its description in RNAcentral is "long non-coding RNA (CANN_LNC004755)". The record is from RNAcentral. Lineage: Eukaryota; Viridiplantae; Streptophyta; Magnoliopsida; Solanales; Solanaceae.